Molecule: ribosomal RNA, 246 nt
Filed under: uncultured bacterium
Lineage: Bacteria
Description: partial 16S ribosomal RNA
Rfam family: Bacterial small subunit ribosomal RNA
Source: RNAcentral
AUACGUAGGUGGCGAGCGUUACUCGGAACUACUAGGCGUAAAGCGUAUGUAGGCUGUCGUAUAAGUCUAUGGUGAAAUUUCCUGGCUCAACUGGGAAGGGACAUAGAUACUGUAUGGCUUGAGUGUUGGAGGGGGAGACGGAAUUCCUGGUGUAGCGGUGAAAUGCGUAGAUAUCAGGAGGAACACCGAUGGCGAAAGCAGUCUCCUGGCCAAAUACUGACGCUGAGGUACGAAAGCUAGGGUAGC